Molecule: ribosomal RNA, 497 nt
Filed under: uncultured bacterium
Lineage: Bacteria
Description: partial 16S ribosomal RNA
Rfam family: Bacterial small subunit ribosomal RNA
Source: RNAcentral
GAUGACCGCUGGCGGCGUGCCUAAUACAUGCAAGUCGAGCGAACGGACCGGCAGCUUGCUUCUCUGAUGUUAGCGGCGGACGGGUGAGUAACACGUGGAUAACCUACCUAUAAGACUGGGAUAACUUCGGGAAACCGGAGCUCACACCGGAUAAUAUUUUGAACCGCAUGGUUCAAAAGUGAAAGACGGUCUUGCUGUCACUUAUAGAUGGAUCCGCGCUGCAUUAGCUAGUUGGUAAGGUAACGGCUUACCAAGGCAACGAUGCAUAGCCGACAUGAGAGGGUGAUCAACCACCCUAGAACUGAGCAACGGCCCACACUACUACGGAAGGCACCAGUAGGGAAUCUUCGCAAAUGGACGAAAGCCUGACAUAGGAACGCAGCGUGUGUGAUGAAAGUCUACGAAUCGUAAAACACUGGUAGUAGGGAAGAACAUAGGUGUAAGUAAGUGUGCACAUCUUGACGUUACCUAAUCAGAAGUCCAGGGCUAACUACGUG